Tritrichomonas foetus is the source of this 72-nucleotide transfer RNA. It matches the Rfam family "tRNA". Rfam says of the family: Transfer RNA (tRNA) molecules are approximately 80 nucleotides in length. Lineage: Eukaryota; Parabasalia; Tritrichomonadida; Tritrichomonadidae. The record is from Rfam.
GGGUGGCUAGCUCAGUGGUAGAGCGCAUCAUUCGCAUUGAUGAGGCCAGGGGUCCGACUCCCCUGUCAUCCA